This 401-nucleotide ribosomal RNA is filed under the name uncultured bacterium. RNAcentral describes it as "bacterial SSU rRNA". It matches the Rfam family "Bacterial small subunit ribosomal RNA", at positions 29 to 429 of the family's 1533-position model. The record is from RNAcentral.
AUUAAACGCUGGCGGCAUGCCUUACACAUGCAAGUCGAACGGCAGCACGGGGUGGUAACACUCUGGUGGCGAGUGGCGGACGGGUGAGUAAAGCAUCGGAACGUGCCCUGGAAUGGGGGAUAACGUAGCGAAAGUUACGCUAAUACCGCAUAUUCUGUGAGCAGGAAAGCAGGGGAUCGCAAGACCUUGCGUUCGAGGAGCGGCCGAUGUCGGAUUAGCUAGUUGGUGGGGUAAAGGCCUACCAAGGCGACGAUCCGUAGCGGGUCUGAGAGGAUGAUCCGCCACACUGGGACUGAGACACGGCCCAGACUCCUACGGGAGGCAGCAGUGGGGAAUUUUGGACAAUGGGCGCAAGCCUGAUCCAGCCAUGCCGCGUGAGUGAAGAAGGCCUCGGUUGUAAG